CUCCUGGAAACGGGUGGUAAUGCCGGAUGUUCCAGUUGAUCGCAUGGUCUUCUGGGAAAGCCUUCGCGGUAUGGGAUGGGGUCGCGUCCUAUCAGCUUGACGGCGGGGUAACGGCCCACCGUGGCUUCGACGGGUAGCCGGCCUGAGAGGGCGACCGGCCACAUUGGGACUGAGAUACGGCCCAGACUCCUACGGGAGGCAGCAGUGGGGAAUAUUGCACAAUGGGCGCAAGCCUGAUGCAGCGACGCCGCGUGAGGGAUGGAGGCCUUCGGGUUGUAAACCUCUUUUAUCGGGAGCAAGCGUGAGUGAGUUUACCCGUUGAAUAAGCACCGGCUAACUACGUGCCAGCAGCCGCGGUAAUACGUAGGGUGCAAGCGUUAUCCGGAAUUAUUGGGCGUAAAGGGCUCGUAGGCGGUUCGUCGCGUCCGGUGUGAAAGUCCAUCGCUUAACGGUGGAUCCGCGCCGGGUACGGGCGGGCUUGAGUGCGGUAGGGGAGACUGGAAUUCCCGGUGUAACGGUGGAAUGUGUAGAUAUCGGGAAGAACACC
This 547-nucleotide ribosomal RNA is filed under the name uncultured Bifidobacterium sp. RNAcentral's name for it is "bacterial SSU rRNA". It matches the Rfam family "Bacterial small subunit ribosomal RNA", at positions 147 to 710 of the family's 1533-position model. Lineage: Bacteria; Bacillati; Actinomycetota; Actinomycetes; Bifidobacteriales; Bifidobacteriaceae. The record is from RNAcentral.